UGUAUGUUGACGUAUUCUGAAAGGGAUACUUCUUCGGACAAUAUACAAGGUGCUGCAUGGUUGUCGUCAGCUCGUGCCGUGAGGUGUCGGGUUAAGUCCCGCAACGAGCGCAACCCUUGUGUUUAGUUGCAAACAGGUCAAGCUGUGCACUCUAGACAGACUGCCGUGGACAACACGGAGGAAGGUGGGGAUGACGUCAAAUCAUCAUGCCCCUUAUGAUCUGGGCUACACACGUGCUACAAUGGCCGGUACAACGGGCAGCGAAGGAGCGAUCCGGAGCGAAUCCUAAAAAAGCCGGUCCCAGUUCGGAUUGCAGGCUGAAACUCGCCUACAUGAAGUUGGAGUUGCUAGUAAUCGCGAAUCAGAAUGUCGCGGUGAAUACGUUCCCGGGCCUU
Molecule: ribosomal RNA, 395 nt
Filed under: uncultured Fusibacter sp.
Lineage: Bacteria; Bacillati; Bacillota; Clostridia; Eubacteriales; Fusibacteraceae
Description: partial 16S ribosomal RNA
Rfam family: Bacterial small subunit ribosomal RNA
Source: RNAcentral